Molecule: long non-coding RNA, 851 nt
Organism: Pieris rapae (cabbage white)
Lineage: Eukaryota; Metazoa; Arthropoda; Insecta; Lepidoptera; Pieridae
Exons: 2
Source: RefSeq, a predicted model, not a curated record
UACUCGAUAUACACAAUGUUAUUAAGUUAUAAAAAAUGUAAUGGAAAUUUUCUGGUACUUUGAAUAUGAUAAAAGUAUUCCUGAUACAAUUGUUGAUUCUCAACAGCACAGUUAGUCAAUUUCUAAACACACCUGGAUAUAUGCCUUAUCCGCAGAGAUAUUACGAUGAAUAUGACUAUACACGAUUAGGAAGGCAAAGGUUUCACCGACGAAGUGGUGGAAAAUUCCCUGAGUAUUCCGCAGAUUCCAACUACGAUUAUGGAAGAGCAAAUUGUAGAUGCUCUUGUAGAAAUUGUGAAAAUAUAAAACCCUGCUGCGUCUCUGUAUGCGAUAACUGUAACUCGCAAUCCUUAGUAUUUGUUCCAUAUCCUGUUCCCCUUGUUGUUGCUAUCACAUCGAAAUCAACUUUAAACACAUCAACAACUACAUCUACGUUAAUGACAACAACGACUACAACAACAACAACAACACCAUCAACAAAGACAGAAAAUUUACCAGAUAUAACAACGUUUUCUACGCCAACGUAUGCUAAAAUAAAACAUGCAUGGCCCAAAGCAUUGUCUACGUCUCCCUUUUUCAAUAAAAGAUUGCUUUUGGGAAAGAAAAAGAAGUGCCUUGGAGGUCAAUGUUUGAAUUACCGAAGGAUAGAUUUAAUGGACCAUUUGUUAAGAAAUAAGGAUGGCCGGCGAGCGGAGAAUUAUGAUGAUUUUGAUUUAAAACUUGAGAAAGGCCAUCAAUUCGGUAUCAUUCCUAUACCCGAUAAAAUGGCGCUAGAAUUCAUGACCAAUAUGCGGGAUAUGAAAUUAAAUGAGUUAUUACAGUCAAAGGUAUAAAGUUCCAAUUAUGACUUA